RNAcentral lists this ribosomal RNA (207 nucleotides) under uncultured bacterium. RNAcentral describes it as "partial 16S ribosomal RNA". It matches the Rfam family "Bacterial small subunit ribosomal RNA", at positions 568 to 774 of the family's 1533-position model. The record is from RNAcentral.
AGCGUAGGCGGACUUUUAAGUGAGAUGUGAAAUACCCGGGCUCAACUUGGGUGCUGCAUUUCAAACUGGAAGUCUAGAGUGCAGGAGAGGAGAAUGGAAUUCCUAGUGUAGCGGUGAAAUGCGUAGAGAUUAGGAAGAACACCAGUGGCGAAGGCAGGUCUCUGGGCCGUCACUGACGCUGAGGAGCGAAAGCGUGGGGAGCGAACA